AUAAAAAGAUUUACGUUUUAAUCAGAAGCAAGAAAGGAAUGCCAGCGGGAGAGAGGAAGAUGGAAUUGUUUCGUUCUAAAAUUUUCGGAAACAUUUUAUUGAAAAAUCCGGAAAUUACGAAUAAAGUGGAAUGCAUCGAAGGGGACCUCACAAGAGAGAACUUAGGACUUUCCUCGUGUCAUAUGAAUUUGAUAACGAAAAACGUUUCGCUGGUGUUUCACUUGGCCGCUUCGGUUAAAUUCGAUGAACCUUUUCGCGAUUCGUUCGUCAAUAACGUGGAAUCGACGAAAAAUGUGGCCGAAGUUUGUCGUCAAAUGAAAAAUUUAUCGGCAUUCGUGCAUACUUCUACAGCUUAUUCUUUCUGCAACAGAAAGGAAGUGGAUGAAAAAAUCUAUACAAUGGACAGAACAUAUGAAGAAUUUAAGAACAUUGCAAAACUAGAAAAUAUUGCUUCCUUAGAGAUAACAGACGAAAAUUUUUUGGAAAAUCGACCCAACACUUAUACUUUAACAAAGGCCAUAGCAGAAAAUUAUUUAAAUACUUUCUGUAGAGAUUUGCCUGUAGUAAUUGUAAGACCUUCUAUUGUUAGUUGUACUUGGAAGGAACCUUUUCCCGGAUGGAUUGAUAAUAAUAGUGGUGUCGAUUACAUAGCUGGAACAGGAUUGAAAGGAAUACUUAGAAGUAUGUUAAAUGAUGAAGACAAAAUUUCUGAUUUCAUUCCAUCGGAUGCAGUGAGUAAUUUGAUGUUAGCUGCUGCUUGGAGGAAGGCGAUGACUCCUCAUCUAAAAGAAGCCGAAAUUCUAGUUUACAAUUGCACUUCAGGAUCCAUAAAUCCUUUCAUUUGGCGCCAGUUUUACAAAUGUUUAAAUACGCAUUCUUGGAAAUAUCCCGUAGAAAACAUCUUUUUAUAUCCAUCAAAAAUACCCAAGAAGAAUUAUUAUUGGAAUCGAUUAUGCAUCGCGAUACAACAUUUACUUCCUGCAAUGCUAACCGACGUAUUUCAAAUUGCCGUUGGCAGGAAACCAAAGAUGAUAAAAGUCUACAGUAAUCUUCAGAAAAAAAUAAGCACGUAUGAAUAUUUUUCAAUAAGAGAUUGGAAGUUUGGUGUCAGAAACGUGCAGGAAUUGCUGGAGAAAAUGUCGACUGAAGAUAAACAGAAUUUCGACUUUGACAUCUCGAAACUCAAUUGGGACCAGUACAUGGAAGAUUACUUUCUGGGCAUCAGGAGAUUCGUUUUCAAAGAGGAUGACUCGACCAUACCCCACAGCAGAAAAAUAUUAUUAUUAAAAUAUUAUUCUUUUUUAAUUGCAAAAAUCGGAUUGCUUUUUGCAUUCGUUUACAGUUUCACCAUCUUGUCGUUCUAGUUUUCCCCAAAAGAAGGAUUUAUUAUAUUUGAGAUUCUUACAUUAACUGCUUAUUAAUUUUAUUUUGCCUAUACCAGAAAGUGGACAAUAUACGAGGAAGAUGGAUUUACCGAUGUCCGGCAAUUUUAAAGUUUUUUUAAUUUUUAAAAACGAUAAAAUCGCUGUAAACUCUUAAAUAUUGCUUAACUAGAAAUGAAUAAACUGCUCUAAUUGUUCGUUGUAUAACAAAUUAAAAACAGAUUAAAAUACAGUAA
Molecule: RNA transcript, 1618 nt
Organism: Centruroides sculpturatus (bark scorpion)
Lineage: Eukaryota; Metazoa; Arthropoda; Arachnida; Scorpiones; Buthidae
Gene name: putative fatty acyl-CoA reductase CG5065
Exons: 12
Source: RefSeq, a predicted model, not a curated record